UACGGAGGGUACAAGCGUUAAUCGGAAUUACUGGGCGUAAAGCGCACGUAGGUGGUUUGUUAAGCUAGCUGUGAAAUCCCCGGGCUCAACCUGGGCACUGCAGUUAGAACUGGCAAGCUAGAGUAGGGUAGAGGGGUGUGGAAUUCCAGGUGUAGCGGUGAAAUGCGUAGAUAUCUGGAGGAACAUCAGUGGCGAAGGCGACUUCCUGGCCUGUUCUUGACGCUGAGGCGCGAAAGCUAGGGGAGCAAACGGG
RNAcentral lists this ribosomal RNA (253 nucleotides) under uncultured bacterium. RNAcentral describes it as "partial 16S ribosomal RNA". It matches the Rfam family "Bacterial small subunit ribosomal RNA", at positions 524 to 776 of the family's 1533-position model. The record is from RNAcentral.